AAGGGGGUGGGGGCCAGGCGGGGGCAUCCGGCCGAGCUGGGGUCUCCGGGCUUCGUCCGGAGGAAGCGAGGUUGCGCUGGCUGGGCAGUCGGAGGGGACGGGACGCACCGGCGGGCGAGCGGACUCGCCCUCUUGAUGACUGAGCCGUCCGGGCCCGUCCUGCCUGGCCGCAGGUGCCCUGGAUGAGGCCGACCCGUGCGUCCCGGCCGGUGAGUGUCCCCGCGGUAGUCCAGCCGGCCGCCUGCCCCCGGCCCCUGCGCCGCCGUUAGUGGCCACCUCUCCUUGCCCCAGUGCCCGCGCCCGGCGCAGUCCGCCUCCGGCCGGCGCCUCCGCACCCUGCGGAGGUGGCAUGGGCCCUGGGGCCGGGAUGGGCCGGCCGGGAAGAGGACCGCAAGCCCGGGCCGUGAGCCGAUGCAAACCGCGCGGCGCGUAGUAGGAGCUUGCGCGUAGUAGGCUCUCAGUGCAUUUCUGAAGAAUUCCUUUUCAGUUUGGAGGAAGGUAGGGUACCUAAGGGAAAAGGGGGUCGUCCCGGGUAUUAGGAGAGUGUUCGUGAUUCGGGUCGGGGGCAGGCCACCGAGUGGGGGCUCAAGGGAAGGGGACACCGGUCAAGUCAUUUUGGGCUCUACUGCUUCGAUCUGGGGAGUCCUCAAGGUCGAAGAGGAAAGGUCCGCUGGGAGAUGAAGGAGGGGACCAGCGAGUGUGGAUGGGAGAAGUGACUGGAGCAUCUCUGGAGGUUUAACCCGAGGUGUAGGUUAGGAAAGGAUGCGGAGGCGGGCGCAGGGAAGACCCCGGUGCAGCAAUUUGGGCUCUUAAGAUUCUUUGGUGCUGGGAUUUGGGUAUUGGAGUAGCCAAAGCAGAGUGACUUUGUGGAGAGGGAGUUGCGUUUAAAGGAUGCUGUGAAACAGUGUAAGUACAUCUUUGGUUCUGAACUUUCAAA
RNAcentral lists this long non-coding RNA (937 nucleotides) under Marmota monax (woodchuck). The record is from RNAcentral. Lineage: Eukaryota; Metazoa; Chordata; Mammalia; Rodentia; Sciuridae.